RNAcentral lists this ribosomal RNA (544 nucleotides) under uncultured bacterium. RNAcentral describes it as "bacterial SSU rRNA". It matches the Rfam family "Bacterial small subunit ribosomal RNA", at positions 777 to 1320 of the family's 1533-position model. The record is from RNAcentral.
AAUAGAUACCCGGGUAGUCCACGCCGUAAACGAUGAGUGCUAAGUGUUGGGGGGUUUCCGCCCCUCAGUGCUGCAGCUAACGCAUUAAGCACUCCGCCUGGGGAGUACGGUCGCAAGACUGAAACUCAAAGGGAUUGACGGGGGCCCGCACAAGCGGUGGAGCAUGUGGUUUAAUUCGAAGCAACGCGAAGAACCUUACCAGGUCUUGACAUCCCGGUGACCACUAUGGAGACAUAGUUUCCCCUUCGGGGGCAACGGUGACAGGUGGUGCAUGGUUGUCGUCAGCUCGUGUCGUGAGAUGUUGGGUUAAGUCCCGCAACGAGCGCAACCCUUAUUCUUAGUUGCCAUCAUUCAGUUGGGCACUCUAAGGAGACUGCCGGUGAUAAACCGGAGGAAGGUGGGGAUGACGUCAAAUCAUCAUGCCCCUUAUGACCUGGGCUACACACGUGCUACAAUGGACGGUACAAACGGUUGCCAACCCGCGAGGGGAGCUAAUCCGAUAAAACCGUUCUCAGUUCGGAUUGUAGGCUGCAACUCGCCUACA